GCCACGGUAGCUCAGUCGGUUAGAGCGCGGGACUCAUAAGCCCGAGGUCGGUGGUUCGAUUCCACCCCGUGGCACCA
RNAcentral lists this transfer RNA (77 nucleotides) under Candidatus Peribacteria bacterium RIFCSPHIGHO2_01_FULL_54_22. Its description in RNAcentral is "tRNA-Met". It matches the Rfam family "tRNA". Rfam says of the family: Transfer RNA (tRNA) molecules are approximately 80 nucleotides in length. Their secondary structure includes four short double-helical elements and three loops (D, anti-codon, and T loops). RNAcentral also lists the same sequence under 5 other names. The record is from RNAcentral. Lineage: Bacteria; Candidatus Peregrinibacteriota; Candidatus Peribacteria.